UACAGAGGUCUCAAGCGUUGUCCGGAUUCAUUGGGCGUAAAGGGUGCGUAGGUGGCGCUGUAAGUCGGGUGUGAAAUUUCGGAGCUUAACUCCGAAACUGCAUUCGAUACUGCGGUGCUUGAGGACUGGAGAGGAGACUGGAAUUCAUGGUGUAGCAGUGAAAUGCGUAGAGAUCAUGAGGAAGACCAGUGGCGAAGGCGGGUCUCUGGACAGUUCCUGACACUGAGGCACGAAGGCCAGGGGAGCAAACGGG
Molecule: ribosomal RNA, 253 nt
Filed under: uncultured bacterium
Lineage: Bacteria
Description: partial 16S ribosomal RNA
Rfam family: Bacterial small subunit ribosomal RNA
Source: RNAcentral